This 88-nucleotide transfer RNA is filed under the name marine eukaryotic metagenome. It matches the Rfam family "tRNA". Rfam says of the family: Transfer RNA (tRNA) molecules are approximately 80 nucleotides in length. Their secondary structure includes four short double-helical elements and three loops (D, anti-codon, and T loops). Further hydrogen bonds mediate the characteristic L-shaped molecular structure. tRNAs have two regions of fundamental functional importance: the anti-codon, which is responsible for specific mRNA codon recognition, and the 3' end, to which the tRNAs corresponding amino acid is attached (by aminoacyl-tRNA synthetases). tRNAs cope with the degeneracy of the genetic code in two manners: having more than one tRNA (with a specific anti-codon) for a particular amino acid; and 'wobble' base-pairing, i.e. permitting non-standard base-pairing at the 3rd anti-codon position. The record is from RNAcentral.
GAGAGGUAGUCAAGCGGUCGAAGACGGCGGUUUGCUAAACCGUUGUAGGGCCAAAAGCUCUACCGUGGGUUCAAAUCCCACCCUCUCC